UCUAACCUUAGCAACACUUCCCCUAGUUUUUUGCAUUGUCGCAGAGUCCAAGUAUAGAGCCUUACCGAUAGGGGACAGUAGAGGGGUCAGAAUGUCCAUAUAGUGACAAUGCCAAGGGAGUUCCGGCAGUGUAAUCCAAAUGGGAACUAUAGGAGUUUCCUCAGCCGGUUUGAAAGUAGGAGUCCACAUUUGUAGUUUCAUCGAUUGACCUGCAAUAUACAUCUUUUGCUUUGUCCACACAGAAAUAUGAUCAGCUUCAUNNNNN
Molecule: long non-coding RNA, 265 nt
Filed under: Solanum tuberosum (potato)
Lineage: Eukaryota; Viridiplantae; Streptophyta; Magnoliopsida; Solanales; Solanaceae
Description: long non-coding RNA (STUB_LNC001078)
Source: RNAcentral